GCUGCUCCUAGUACGAGAGGACCGGAGUGGACGCAUCACUGGUGUUCGGGUUGUCAUGCCAAUGGCACUGCCCGGUAGCUAAAUGCGGAAGAGAUAAGUGCUGAAAGCAUCUAAGCACGAAACUUGCCCCGAGAUGAGUUCUCCCUGACUCCUUGAGAGUCCUGAAGGAACGUUGAAGACGACGACGUUGAUAGGCCGGGUGUGUAAGCGCAGCGAUGCGUUGAGCUAACCGGUACUAAUGAACCGUGAGGCUUAACCUUACAACGCCGAAGCUGUU
RNAcentral lists this ribosomal RNA (277 nucleotides) under Escherichia coli. RNAcentral's name for it is "partial 23S ribosomal RNA". It matches the Rfam family "Bacterial large subunit ribosomal RNA", at positions 2671 to 2925 of the family's 2925-position model. The record is from RNAcentral. Lineage: Bacteria; Pseudomonadati; Pseudomonadota; Gammaproteobacteria; Enterobacterales; Enterobacteriaceae.